UACGAAGGGGGCUAGCGUUGCUCGGAAUUACUGGGCGUAAAGGGCGCGUAGGCGGAUCAGCAAGUUGGGGGUGAAAGCCCGGGGCUCAACCCCGGAAUGUCUUUCGAAACUGGCCAGCUCGAGUGCGGAAGAGGCAACUGGAAUUCCCAGUGUAGCGGUGAAAUGCGUAGAUAUUGGGAAGAACACCUGAGGCGAAGGCGGGUUGCUGGGCCGACACUGACGCUGAGGCGCGAAAGCCAGGGGAGCAAACGGG
This 253-nucleotide ribosomal RNA is filed under the name uncultured bacterium. RNAcentral describes it as "partial 16S ribosomal RNA". It matches the Rfam family "Bacterial small subunit ribosomal RNA", at positions 524 to 776 of the family's 1533-position model. The record is from RNAcentral.